GAUUUCUAUAAUCACUUCUUUAGUUGUUUAAGUAAUAUAAUGUUUUAAUUAUUAAGUUCAUAUAAAGUUGAGGUUAAAUCAAUGGAUUAUUUUGAUAAAUGCACGAAUGGGUCGAAUAAUUCAUAGAUGAAUAACAAGCCGAAUACGUAUAAGUUAAGAAAUUCCUUAACUCGGAUGUUGGACUUCAAGAUCACGUGAUAGAAUAUUAUAUUACAAUCAUAUAGGAAGAAACGUGACGCAAAACGGACGAAAAAUGAGAGAGUUGUGUCCGUUUCAGUAAGGAUUAAUGGCUAGGAAAAGUGCAGAGUUGACACGGCCGGGUGGUGAACUGACACGGCCGGGUGAAGGUUCUGUCAAAAAUAUUAUUUAUGUGAUUUAUGCGCCGUAGGCUUCGGUAUAUUAUCCGUGAACUACGACGGGCCUCCCAAACAUGAUUUCGAGUGUUUCCUUGACGAUUAUAAGUUGUAAACCCAAGUCUAAGCCUCAUGUAAUUUAUACAAGAGUGUGAUAGAUGUAUGUAAUGAAGUUGGACAUGUAUUACAUGUAAAUGUACACAAAAAUACGUACGGAACACGUAGGUAUGAAUACAUGAUUGUAGGUAUGAUUAAAUGUAUAUUAGGUAUGUAGAUGUGUAUGAUUGUAAGUUUGUAUGUGUGCAAGUAUGUGCGAAUGCAUGAUUUGGAUGCAUUUGAGAAUUAGCGUUACUAAUAAUGCCCUUGGGUUUGAAAUAUAAGUUGAUUGGAUGCAUUUAAAUGGUUAACGUCCUUUUUAUGAAGAUGUAGUAAAUGAAUAUGUUGAGAUUACGGGUUUGGCUAACCAAGUUAUUAUUGAGUAUGUUUGAAAGUGCAGGUUAUGAAUGUCGGACUUUCGAAGUGUUGAUAUAAUAAUGAAACGGUUGAAUGUUGAAAGGAUAAUCGGAUUGAAGUAACUUAUGCGGUUAGAAUAUGCUAUGGACGUUUUAGUUUAUACAAUAUUAUAUGUUUGGUCGUCACCAUCUACUAACAGGUAAUUCCUCAAUUUUGGCGACUUGGAGAAUCGGAGCGAGCGCGUGUUCGUGUUAUGCGAUACCAAACGCUUCCGCUAGCUUGUUCAAAUGUUUUUGAUCCAAAAUUUGUUGUAUUGGUAUUUAGUAGUAUCUUGUUGAACGAAUUGUAGAAUUGUAUCUAGUUUGUUUAUGUUUUAAACAGGGGUAUGCUCGUUUUAUGGACGGGUCAUGCCCGAUUUUUUUGUUAAAUUAUAGUUUGAUAAUAUCACAUUUAGGAAGGUGAAAUUUUGGGCGUAACAAGUUGGUAUCAGAGCCUAGGUUUGAGGGAUUCGAGCAAGAGUAUCAGUGCUUGAACUCAAACCGAUGGCUCGUGCAAAAGUGUGCUCGCUCCGAGAUCGCCAAUGAGGCCAAGAGCACGCGGGUUAUGUGAAGGGUAAGCGCAAUUGUUCGGAAGGAAUGAUCCGUGAAUGCGGUCUAGGACCGGCAUCAAGGCAAGUAAUAAGACGAAUUGACCCCUGGUACGUAUACUCAACGCGUUGAUGUAUGAAAUAGUAUAAUUAGGCAAGUGAAAGAAAAAUCUAAAUGAAUAUAACAACGACAUGGUAAAGGAGUUUUAAAAAUGUAACACGUGCCGAAACUUAAUUCUUCGGGCAUAAUGUGGCGAUUACGCGAAGACACGAAACUAGUACGUGGAUUGUGUACCUGGCCAGUACACAAGAAACGUAUGACGUUCGUGAGACCGCGAUAAUUGUUACAUGUAUGUCCGUUAGAAUUGGGUAGCAGGUGGGCGUACGGGUGAAAUGAGUAGUAAGACUCUCGGGAGAUUGAGAGUACUACGUAAGAGUACAAAAUGCAAGUGAUAAGAAUAACAUGUUGAAUCCGUAAGAAGUACGGACCAACAAUGUAUGAAUGCAAUGCUUGAAUCCGCGAGACGGAUUCAAGGAAUGAAAGAUAUGAAUGCAAUGCUUGAAUCCGCGAGACGGAUUCAA
Long non-coding RNA from Helianthus annuus (common sunflower), 1974 nucleotides. RefSeq lists it as uncharacterized. The record is from RefSeq and is a predicted model, not a curated record. The transcript is spliced from 3 exons. Lineage: Eukaryota; Viridiplantae; Streptophyta; Magnoliopsida; Asterales; Asteraceae.